GGUUCCAUAGUGUAGCGGUGAGCACAUCUGCUUUACAUGCAGAAGGUGCUAGGUUCGCAACCCAGUGGAGCCA
Molecule: transfer RNA, 73 nt
Filed under: Pteropus alecto (black flying fox)
Lineage: Eukaryota; Metazoa; Chordata; Mammalia; Chiroptera; Pteropodidae
Rfam family: tRNA
About the family: Transfer RNA (tRNA) molecules are approximately 80 nucleotides in length.
Source: Rfam by way of RNAcentral